ACGAACGCUGGCGGCGUGCUUAACACAUGCCGGUCGAACGGUGAAGCGCCUUCCUUUUUGGUGGGUGUGGAUGAGUGGCGAACGGGUGAGUAACACGUGAGUAACCUGCCCCCUUCUUCUGGAUAACCGCAUGAAAGUGUGGCUAAUACGGGAUAUUCUGGGUCUGUCGCAUGAUGGGUCUGGGAAAGAUAUUGUUUCGGUGGGGGAUGGGCUCGCGGCCUAUCAGCUUGUUGGUGGGGUGAUGGCCUACCAAGGCGGUGACGGGUAGCCGGCCUGAGAGGGUGGACGGUCACACUGGGACUGAGACACGGCCCAGACUCCUACGGGAGGCAGCAGUGGGGAAUAUUGCACAAUGGGCGCAAGCCUGAUGCAGCGACGCCGCGUGAGGGAUGGAGGCCUUCGGGUUGUGAACCUCUUUCGCCAGUGAAGCAGGCCUGCCUCGUUUGUGGGUGGGUUGACGGUAGCUGGAUAAGAAGCGCCGGCUAACUACGUG
RNAcentral lists this ribosomal RNA (493 nucleotides) under uncultured bacterium. RNAcentral's name for it is "partial 16S ribosomal RNA". It matches the Rfam family "Bacterial small subunit ribosomal RNA", at positions 29 to 507 of the family's 1533-position model. The record is from RNAcentral.